This 254-nucleotide ribosomal RNA is filed under the name uncultured bacterium. RNAcentral's name for it is "partial 16S ribosomal RNA". It matches the Rfam family "Bacterial small subunit ribosomal RNA", at positions 524 to 776 of the family's 1533-position model. The record is from RNAcentral.
UACGUAGGGGGCAAGCGUUGUCCGGAUUUAUUGGGCGUAAAAGGCUUGUAGGUGGCCACGCCAAGUCGGAUGUGAAAGCCCCCGGCUCAACUGGGGAGGGUCACGCGAUACUGAUCGACUCGAAGGCAGGAGAGGGUAGUGGAAUUCCCGGUGUAGUGGUGAAAUGCGUAGAUAUCGGGAGGAACACCAGUGGCGAAGGCGACUACCUGGCCUGUUCUUGACGCUGAGGCGCGAAAGCUAGGGGAGCAAACGGG